Molecule: ribosomal RNA, 318 nt
Filed under: Triticum aestivum (bread wheat)
Lineage: Eukaryota; Viridiplantae; Streptophyta; Magnoliopsida; Poales; Poaceae
Description: partial small subunit ribosomal RNA
Source: RNAcentral
AUGCAGCUCAUCGAGCUCUUCUCCUGCACAUACAGUUUAAGCUUCAAUUCAAAUCAGCUUCAGAAGCUGCAAGACAGAACAUGUUCAGUUCAGGUGUGCAGAGUACAUACAGGUGGAACCGGUCCUUUGGGAUCUUGUUCUGUGGAGGAGGAGGUGGAUUGCCCUGUCGGCGACGAAGCUCCAGCCGUGUGUCACCAGCCUGGGCAUGAUGGUGGUGCUCUUCUUGACCAACGCCGAGCUCCGCGCUGGCGAGGGCCGCUCCUUGACGGGCGUCUUCUCCUCGAAGUUGAGCGCGCUGGGCCUGACAACCUUGGGUGA